CAACUUGAGAGUUUGAUCCUGGCUCAGAACGAACGCUGGCGGCAGGCCUAACACAUGCAAGUCGAGCGAGACCUUCGGGUCUAGCGGCGGACGGGU
Molecule: ribosomal RNA, 96 nt
Filed under: Paracoccaceae bacterium
Lineage: Bacteria; Pseudomonadati; Pseudomonadota; Alphaproteobacteria; Rhodobacterales; Paracoccaceae
Description: Rhodobacteraceae bacterium (activated sludge metagenome) partial 16S ribosomal RNA
Rfam family: Bacterial small subunit ribosomal RNA
Source: RNAcentral